UAGAGUUUGUUCAUGGCUCAGAACGAACGCUGGCGGCGUGCCUAACACAUGCAAGUCGAGCGCGAAUAGGGGCAACCCUUAGUAGAGCGGCGCACGGGUGCGUAACACGUGGAUAAUCUGCCUGGAUGCUCGGGAUAACCAGUCGAAAGAUUGGCUAAUACCGGAUAAGCCCACGGUUUCUUCGGAGACUGAGGGAAAAGGUGGCCUCUGUAUACAAGCUAUCACAACCAGAUGAGUCCGCGGCCCAUCAGCUAGUUGGCGGGGUAAUGGCCCACCAAGGCGACGACGGGUAGCUGGUCUGAGAGGACGAUCAGCCACACUGGAACUGAGACACGGUCCAGACUCCUACGGGAGGCAGCAGUGGGGAAUUUUGCGCAAUGGGCGAAAGCCUGACGCAGCAACGCCGCGUGUGUGAUGAAGGUCUUCGGAUUGUAAAGCACUUUCGACCGGGACGAAAACCCGUAGCCCAACACGCUACGGCUUGACGGUACCGGGAGAAGAAGCACCGGCUAACUCUGUGCCAGCAGCCGCGGUAAUACAGAGGGUGCAAGCGUUGUUCGGAAUUAUUGGGCGUAAAGCGCGUGUAGGCGGCGUGACAAGUCGGGUGUGAAAGCCCUCAGCUCAACUGAGGAAGUGCGCCCGAAACUGUCGUGCUUGAGUGCCGGAGAGGGUGGCGGAAUUCCCCAAGUAGAGGUGAAAUUCGUAGAUAUGGGGAGGAACACCGGUGGCGAAGGCGGCCACCUGGACGGUAACUGACGCUGAGACGCGAAAGCGUGGGGAGCAAACAGGAUUAGAUACCCUGGUAGUCCACGCCGUAAACGAUGAGAACUAGGUGUCGUGGGAGUUGACCCCCGCGGUGCCGUAGCUAACGCAUUAAGUUCUCCGCCUGGGAAGUACGGUCGCAAGACUAAAACUCAAGGAAUUGACGGGGGCCCGCACAAGCGGUGGAGCAUGUGGUUAAUUUCGACGCAACGCGCAGAACCUUACCUGGUCUUGACAUCCUCGGAAUCUCUCAAAGAUGAGGGAUUG
Molecule: ribosomal RNA, 1029 nt
Filed under: Myxococcus fulvus
Lineage: Bacteria; Pseudomonadati; Myxococcota; Myxococcia; Myxococcales; Myxococcaceae
Description: bacterial SSU rRNA
Rfam family: Bacterial small subunit ribosomal RNA
Source: RNAcentral